ACCUACGGGGCGCAGCAGUAGGGAAUCUUCCACAAUGGGCGAAAGCCUGAUGGAGCAACGCCGCGUGGGUGAAGAAGGUCUUCGGAUCGUAAAACCCUGUUGUUAGAGAAGAAAGUGCGUGAGAGUAACUGUUCACGUUUCGACGGUAUCUAACCAGAAAGCCGCGGCUAACUACGUGCCAGCAGCCGCGGUAAUACGUAGGUGGCAAGCGUUAUCCGGAUUUAUUGGGCGUAAAGGGAACGCAGGCGGUCUUUUAAGUCUAAUGUGAAAGCCUUCGGCUUAACCGGAGUAGUGCAUUGGAAACU
Molecule: ribosomal RNA, 305 nt
Filed under: uncultured bacterium
Lineage: Bacteria
Description: bacterial SSU rRNA
Rfam family: Bacterial small subunit ribosomal RNA
Source: RNAcentral